RNAcentral lists this ribosomal RNA (784 nucleotides) under uncultured bacterium. RNAcentral's name for it is "bacterial SSU rRNA". It matches the Rfam family "Bacterial small subunit ribosomal RNA", at positions 8 to 796 of the family's 1533-position model. The record is from RNAcentral.
AGAGUUUGAUCCUGGCUCAGAAUCAACGCUGGCGGCGUGCCUAACACAUGCAAGUCGAGCGAGAAAAGGGGAGCAAUCCUCUGAGUAAAGCGGCGCACGGGUGAGUAACACGUGGGUAAUCUGCCCUGGAGUGGGGAAUAACACCGGGAAACCGGUGCUAAUACCGCAUACGAUCACAGAGUCUGCGGAUUUUGUGAUGAAAGGAGCAAUUCGCUCUAGGAGGAGCCCGCGGCUGAUUAGCUAGUUGGUGAGGUAACGGCUCACCAAGGCAACGAUCAGUAUCCGGUCUGAGAGGACGGUCGGACACACUGGAACUGAGACACGGUCCAGACUCCUACGGGAGGCAGCAGUGGGGAAUUUUUGGCAAUGGGGGCAACCCUGACCAAGCAACGCCGCGUGGGUGAUGAAGUCUCUUGGGACGUAAAACCCUUUCGACGGGGACGAAAGCCGCAAGGUUUGACGGUACCCGUAGAAGAAGCCCCGGCUAACUCCGUGCCAGCAGCCGCGGUAAUACGGGGGGGGCAAGCGUUGUUCGGAAUUACUGGGCGUAAAGGGCGCGUAGGCGGUUCGCUAAGUCGGAUGUGAAAACUCUGGGCUCAACCCAGAGCCUGCAUCCGAAACUGGCGGGCUAGAGUUCUGGAGGGGGUAGCGGAAUUCCUGGUGUAGCGGUGAAAUGCGUAGAUAUCAGGAGGAACACCGGUGGCGAAGGCGGCUACCUGGACAGAAACUGACGCUGAGGCGCGAAAGCUAGGGGAGCAAACAGGAUUAGAUACCCUAGUAGUCC